UGGACUACUAGGGUAUCUAAUCCCGUUUGCUACCCUAGCUUUCGCGCCUCAGCGUCAGUAUCAGCCCAGCAACCCGUCUUCACCUCAGGUGUUCCUCUUGAUAUCUACGCAUUUCACCGCUACACCAAGAAUUCCGAUUGCCCCUUCUGUACUCUAGCAAAGCAGUAUCAGUUGACCGUUCCGAGUUAAGCUCGGAGAUUUCACAACUGACUUGAAUUGCCGCCUACGCGCCCUUUACGCCCAGUAAAUCCGAACAACGCUUGGUCCCUACGUAUUACCGCGGCGGCUGGCAC
This 293-nucleotide unclassified non-coding RNA is filed under the name uncultured fungus. RNAcentral describes it as "sequence contains ITS1". The record is from RNAcentral. Lineage: Eukaryota; Fungi.